This 689-nucleotide ribosomal RNA is filed under the name Streptococcus oralis subsp. tigurinus. Its description in RNAcentral is "bacterial SSU rRNA". It matches the Rfam family "Bacterial small subunit ribosomal RNA", at positions 45 to 717 of the family's 1533-position model. Lineage: Bacteria; Bacillati; Bacillota; Bacilli; Lactobacillales; Streptococcaceae. The record is from RNAcentral.
UGCCUAAUACAUGCAAGUAGAACGCUGAAGMGWGGWGCUUGCWCYKMKYGGAUGAGUUGCGAACGGGUGAGUAACGCGUAGGUAACCUGCCUGGUAGCGGGGGAUAACUAUUGGAAACGAUAGCUAAUACCGCAUAAAAUKGAUUAUCGCAUGAUAAUCMAUUGAAAGGUGCAAAUGCAUCACUACCAGAUGGACCUGCGUUGUAUUAGCUAGUUGGUGGGGUAACGGCUCACCAAGGCGACGAUACAUAGCCGACCUGAGAGGGUGAUCGGCCACACUGGGACUGAGACACGGCCCAGACUCCUACGGGAGGCAGCAGUAGGGAAUCUUCGGCAAUGGACGGAAGUCUGACCGAGCAACGCCGCGUGAGUGAAGAAGGUUUUCGGAUCGUAAAGCUCUGUUGUAAGAGAAGAACGAGUGUGAGAGUGGAAAGUUCACACUGUGACGGUAUCUUACCAGAAAGGGACGGCUAACUACGUGCCAGCAGCCGCGGUAAUACGUAGGUCCCGAGCGUUGUCCGGAUUUAUUGGGCGUAAAGCGAGCGCAGGCGGUUAGAUAAGUCUGAAGUUAAAGGCUGUGGCUUAACCAUAGUACGCUUUGGAAACUGUUUAACUUGAGUGCAAGAGGGGAGAGUGGAAUUCCAUGUGUAGCGGUGAAAUGCGUAGAUAUAUGGAGGAACACCGGUGGCG